RNAcentral lists this ribosomal RNA (537 nucleotides) under uncultured Chloroflexota bacterium. RNAcentral describes it as "bacterial SSU rRNA". It matches the Rfam family "Bacterial small subunit ribosomal RNA", at positions 568 to 1107 of the family's 1533-position model. Lineage: Bacteria; Bacillati; Chloroflexota. The record is from RNAcentral.
CGCGCAGGCGGCAACCUAAGUGUCGUGUGAAAGCCCCCGGCUCAACCGGGGGAGGCCAUGGCAAACUGGGUCGCUCGAGCUGCGGAGAGGCCCCUCGAAUUGCCGGUGUAGCGGUGAAAUGCGUAGAGAUCGGCAGGAAGACCAAGGGGGAAGCCAGGGGGCUGGCCGCAGGCUGACGCUGAGGCGCGACAGCGUGGGGAGCAAACCGGAUUAGAUACCCGGGUAGUCCACGCCGUAAACGAUGACCACUCGGCGUGCGGCGACAUUGACGUCGCGGCGCGCCCUAGCUCACGCGAUAAGUGGUCCGCCUGGGAACUACGAGCGCAAGCUUAAAACUCAAAGGAAUUGACGGGGACCCGCACAAGCGGUGGAGCAUGUGGUUUAAUUCGACGCAACGCGAAGAACCUUACCUGAGUUCAAGAUACGAGAAGCGCCGGAAUCGGCGUGGCGGGCAGGAGUCGUAUCAGGUGCUGCAUGGCUGUCGUCAGCUCGUGUCGUGAGAUGUUGGGUUAAGUCCCGCAACGAGCGCAACCCUUG